Long non-coding RNA from Haplochromis burtoni (Burton's mouthbrooder), 882 nucleotides. RefSeq lists it as uncharacterized. The transcript has 4 exons. The record is from RefSeq and is a predicted model, not a curated record. Lineage: Eukaryota; Metazoa; Chordata; Actinopteri; Cichliformes; Cichlidae.
UUUUUAUUUUUAUUGAAUUGUUAAUAUCUUCAAUGUAGCCUUUCCAGUGCCUCACAAAGAGACUGACCUUCCAUAUAGUCCCUUCCCUAAAAAGGGCAUUCUGCUCUGGACUGUUAUCUGUGUUUUACUGGUCGAUCUAUUGUUUUUCUUGGUGGGCCUGCUUCUUCAAAACAAAUGCAAAGUAUCAGCCUGUUUUUCAUCAGUACAAGGUUCACGCUCAUGUGAAGACAACACAGUCUUGCAAGAGGAGUACACACAAGUGUCAUAUGGCCUGGUAGAGAAAGAUGGAGACAACUGAAUUGCCAUUGAUCGCAACCACAACUACUGCUUUGUAUGCAUCUAUCGAGCUUUAUAUAAAAUGAUUACUUAACACAGGUGAGAAAUAUACAGAGAAAAUUUAUAGAGAAAAAAUAGAUUUUGAAUUUGAUACAUGUUUCCAAAACAGAACUGGAAGUAUCCAGGGAAGACAUCGAGACUGUCAUCUAUUCUUCAGUGAAUUGAGGCUCAUGCAUCCACCCAUCCUAUCCUGCUUAUCCACUGUUGCCAACUCUUCAGUAAGGAGACUAUCUCAGUGUCAUAGGCCGGGAGGUGGUGUACACCUUGGACAGGUCACCAGUCUGUCACAGGGUUAACACAUAGAGUCAGACAACCAUUCGUACUCACAUUCACCCCUGUGGGGAAUUUAGAAACAUCAAUUAACCUAACCCUACUAACUGACUUACUGACUGAGGCCCAUACAUUUUUUAUUUGCUGGAUUUUCUUUUGCUAGACUAUUAAACAUUAAAGGUUAUUAUGCUAUUAACACAGAUUUCUUUUUUUCUCUCUCUCUGAAAUGGCACAUCUACAUUCUUCUGUGUGUAUUUUAAAUUUUGUUUAUUUUGU